Molecule: ribosomal RNA, 164 nt
Filed under: uncultured bacterium
Lineage: Bacteria
Description: partial 16S ribosomal RNA
Rfam family: Bacterial small subunit ribosomal RNA
Source: RNAcentral
AAUCGCGGAUCAGAAUGCUGCGGUGAAUACGUUCCCGGGUCUUGUACACACCGCCCGUCACACCAUGGGAGUCGGAAAUUGCCCGAAGUCGGUGACCCAACCGUUUAUGGAGGGAGCUGCCGAAGGCAGGUCUGGUGACUGGGGUGAAGUCGUAACAAGGUACC